Long non-coding RNA from Phyllostomus discolor (pale spear-nosed bat), 168 nucleotides. RefSeq lists it as uncharacterized. The record is from RefSeq and is a predicted model, not a curated record. Lineage: Eukaryota; Metazoa; Chordata; Mammalia; Chiroptera; Phyllostomidae. The transcript has 3 exons.
CUUUAUAUUGAAUUGUUGAUAGACAUGUAUUUGUUGCCAUUUUAUUGUACAUAUUUCUUCUUCUUCUUCAAGACUCUUUAAUAUUUCAUGUAAUACCAGUUUGGUAGUGAUGAACUUCAUUAGCUUUUUCUUACCUGGGAAAUUCUUUAUCUACAUCCAUCAAUUCUG